AGCUCAGUUGGUUAGAGCAUCUGACUGUUAAUCAGGGGGUCGUUGGUUCAAGUCCAUCAGGGG
This 63-nucleotide transfer RNA is filed under the name Bacillota bacterium. Its description in RNAcentral is "tRNA-Asn". It matches the Rfam family "tRNA", at positions 9 to 63 of the family's 71-position model. Rfam says of the family: Transfer RNA (tRNA) molecules are approximately 80 nucleotides in length. Their secondary structure includes four short double-helical elements and three loops (D, anti-codon, and T loops). The record is from RNAcentral. Lineage: Bacteria; Bacillati; Bacillota.